CAAAAGCUCCGCCAAACGGGCCUAAAUCGUCCACUUCCGGCAGCUUUAUUCGGCCGCUUUUCGCGAAGCUGGGGCUUUCAUCCACGGAAAAGGGGCUGCUCGAUUGCUCCGCUUUGAGCCCCAAGGAGUUUGUGGCGGAGAUUCAGCCAAAAUUUGCCCCUUUUUUGACUUUUCGAACGUGUUCCUUUCUGAAUCAUAGAGUUCGAUUAGACAUCAGGGCAAUGUGAAGCGCCUGCAGCCUGAGUUUCCGAUGGAGCUGUAUCAGGAUGAAGAGCUGAAAGAGGAGCACGGGAUCAAAACACAUCCAUGUCAAACGUGAUCUAGGAAAAGAAGACUGCUAGCAUAACUCAUUUGUGCUAAUGGCAAUAUAGGAUGGAAGGAUCUAUCCUCUAAGUGGCAUAGAAGCAUUUCAGGAAGAAGUAGCUAGAUGUGUAGAGGAAGUGGUUAGAAAGUGCUUGGAGAUUCUAAAUGUCAGUAUACAUGAACAGGGAAAGAUGGUGGUCGAACGUGAGAAUAUAAGAAAGAAUCAUGGAAAACCUGUUGUAUUAGAAGUUGUGUCUGCUACUUGAUUGCAAUACAGUUUACUGCCUCCAGAAGUGCUCUUCUCAACUAAGGCUUUCCAUCCAGACGUAUCUUUGCUAGAAGUCAAGGUAAAAGAAACUGGUAGUAGGAUAAAAUGCAUUGCAGUAGUCCUCUUCCAAUGAGUCAGGCACUUCUCUUUUCACAUUAUGUGCAAUAUGCCUCCAUGUGCCGCUUUGUGGUUUGAUUGUUGGAGGAUAUGCGAGGCAAAAAGAAAGAAAUUUGAAUGCAAUAUGUAGAAGCAAGACUGAAUGGAAAAGGGAAUUUAUUUUCCCUAAUUGUGAUUGUCCUUUAAACCCUUGUAGAAAACUCUUUAUCAUUAUCAGCGAAUCGUCUUUGUUGUGUUCUUUACUUGUCUUUUGUAUUAUCGACAUAUCUAUUUUUUUUAUUUGUGAAAUAGAGCUAGAUUCUUUCAUGUA
Long non-coding RNA from Phoenix dactylifera (date palm), 998 nucleotides. RefSeq lists it as uncharacterized. The record is from RefSeq and is a predicted model, not a curated record. NCBI's taxonomy places the organism in Eukaryota, Viridiplantae, Streptophyta, Magnoliopsida, Arecales, Arecaceae.